CAUUCAGUAGCCUAGCUACUUGUUUAUACCCUUGUUUUUUUGCGUACCUAUUGUUUCCUCGGUGGGCUUGCCUGCCGGUAGGACAAAACUAUAACCUUUUUAAAUCUUCAAUCAGCGUCUGAAUUAUACAUAAUAAUUA
This 139-nucleotide unclassified non-coding RNA is filed under the name soil metagenome. RNAcentral's name for it is "partial internal transcribed spacer 1". The record is from RNAcentral.